CGGACUCAUUCGGCGGCCGUUUCUUCUCAGGAGAGAGAAACAGUGAGUUAAAGACGAUCGAAGAAGACAGACAAGAGAAAGUGAGAGAUUUGAAUUGUAGUGUAAAAAGUAUUAAAAAAAGGCUGCGUAUCCUAAUCAGACCGUACACGUGUCAAAACAAGUGAGUUGCUGACAUUUGUCGGAAGAAGUCACUGGGCGGUGCUUGUCGUUUAGCCUAAAAUGCUUUCAGUAUUUUUAUCCACUAUGUAUAUAUUUUUCCGUGUUCUUACUUAACACGACGACCAAAAGACAAAUAUACCCUUCACACUCUAACAGGUAAAAACCUGGAUGGUUUACUUCUAGAUUU
Molecule: long non-coding RNA, 346 nt
Organism: Mangifera indica (mango)
Lineage: Eukaryota; Viridiplantae; Streptophyta; Magnoliopsida; Sapindales; Anacardiaceae
Exons: 2
Source: RefSeq, a predicted model, not a curated record